Molecule: transfer RNA, 57 nt
Filed under: Rachovia maculipinnis
Lineage: Eukaryota; Metazoa; Chordata; Actinopteri; Cyprinodontiformes; Rivulidae
Description: tRNA-Cys
Source: RNAcentral
AGCCCUGAGUAGUUCGUAGAUUGCAAAUCUAAAGAUUGGUAUUACCAGCCGGGGCUU